This 1479-nucleotide ribosomal RNA is filed under the name Triticum aestivum (bread wheat). RNAcentral describes it as "partial small subunit ribosomal RNA". The record is from RNAcentral. Lineage: Eukaryota; Viridiplantae; Streptophyta; Magnoliopsida; Poales; Poaceae.
AUGAGGAACACCACCUUCGGUCUACUCCUCAUCUGCGUGGCCGCGUUGCAUGCAGAUGCAUCGCAAGAGGCUCAGCUCAGAAGGUUCAUCCGGUCUAGACGGAACAGUAGCAAUGCUAACAACAUAGAUGAACCAAGGGUAGGAAUCACUAACACUACUAGUAGCCUCAUAGAGUACUCUACCCAUGACAUGGCCAAUCUGAAGGCCGCCGACAAGAUCCAUGUGCUGCCAGGGCAGCCUAGCGGCACCAUCGGCUUAAAUCAGUACGGUGGGUACGUGACUGUCCACAAGAAGGAUGGCCAGGUGCUCUUCUACUACUUCGUCGAGGCAGCCACCGAUGCGGCGGCGAAGCCACUCCUCUUGUGGCUCAAUGGAGGUCCUGGAUGCUCAUCGCUUGGCUAUGGAGCAAUGAUGGAGGUGGGCCCGUUCCGCGUGAACAAGGACAAAAGAACUCUCAGCGAAAACAUGCAUGCUUGGACCAAAGUGGCCAACGUGAUCUUCCUGGAAUCGCCUGUCGGCGUCGGGUUUUCAUACUCCAACAAGACCCUUGACUUCCACUUGAGCGGAGAUAAGAGUACGGCGGACGACACAUUUGUCUUCCUCCUCAACUGGCUCGAGAGGUUCCCGGAGUACAAAGGCCGUCCCUUCUACAUCUCCGGGGAGAGCUACGGCGGCCACUAUGUGCCACAGCUUGCAGCCACCAUCCUCAGCCACAAUCUCGAAAAUAGUAGCACAAGAACUUCGAUAAACCUACAGGGUAUCCUGGUUGGCAAUCCAUACCUUGAUGCCAAUAUGAAUGCUAAGGGGGAAGUUGACUAUCUGUGGAGCCACGGGAUGAUAUCAGAUGAGGCGUGGGCCAGUAUCACCAAGAAGUGCAGUUUAGACCAGCGAGGUUACAAAGCAUGCGUCACUGAUAUGCACGGUGCUGAUCAAUCUAACAUCGAUCCCUACGACAUAUAUGCAUCGGUUUGCCUGGAAGGGCCAAUUGAAACACAGUACCCCAGCCGCUAUACACCGAGGUCGUAUGAUAUUUGCAGCGAUCGUUACGUAUACGUGUACCUCAAUGAUCCUCGGGUGCAAAAGGCUUUGCAUGCUAGACCAACAGAGUGGACGCACUGCACUUCCGAAAUUGCUUGGAUGGAUGCACCGGCCUCGAUGGUGCCAACGCUUAAAUGGCUGAUAGAGCAGCACCUGCCCGUGUGGCUGUACAGCGGCGACUUUGACUCCGUAUGCCCGUUCAUCGCCACGAGGUACACCAUCAAGGACCUCGGCCUCAACGUCACGGAGCCAUGGCGCCCAUGGAUAGUGAACGAGCGCGAUGAGGUUGGAGGGCACGUUCAGGGAUACACGGGGGGGUUGGUGUUUGCAACUGUGAGGGCAGCCGGGCAUGCGGUCCCAUCCCACCAGCCCGAGGCAGCGCUCGUGCUGGUCAGCUCCUUCCUGAAUGGAACGCUUCCCCCGAGCGAUAAGUGGUGGUGA